Molecule: ribosomal RNA, 504 nt
Filed under: uncultured bacterium
Lineage: Bacteria
Description: bacterial SSU rRNA
Rfam family: Bacterial small subunit ribosomal RNA
Source: RNAcentral
AACGAACGCUGGCGGCGCGUCUUAAGCAUGCAAGUCGAACGGCAAGGCAGGUGCUUGCACCUGCCCUAGAGUGGCGGACUGGUGAGUAACACGUGGGUGACAUGCCUUUAGUUGGGGAUAGCUACUAGAAAUAGUAGAUAAUACCGAAUGUGAUCAAUAUUUAUAGAUGAUGUUGAGGAAAGGAGCUAAGGCUUCGCUAAAAGAUUGGCCCGCGGCCCAUUAGCUAGUUGGUAGGGUAAAGGCUUACCAAGGCGAUGAUGGGUAUCCGGCCUGAGAGGGUGAUCGGACACAUUGGGACUGAGAUACGGCCCAGACUCCUACGGGAGGCAGCAGCUAAGAAUAUUCCACAAUGGACGAAAGUCUGAUGGAGCGACGCCGCGUGGAUGAUGAAGGCCGAAAGGUUGUAAAAUCCUUUUACACUGGAGGAAUAAGCAGAGUAGGGAAUGACUCUGUGAUGACUGUACAGUUUGAAUAAGCAACGGCUAAUUACGUGCCAGCAGCCGC